GACGAACGCUGGCGGCGUGCCUAAUACAUGCAAGUCGAGCGCAGGAAACUGACGGAACUCUUCGGAGGGAAGGCAGUGGAAUGAGCGGCGGACGGGUGAGUAACACGUAAGGAACCUGCCUCAAGGAUUGGGAUAACUCCGAGAAAUCGGAGCUAAUACCGGAUAGUUCAACGGACCGCAUGGUCCGCUGAUGAAGGGCGCUUCGGCGUCACCUUGAGAUGGCCUUGCGGUGCAUUAGCUAGUUGGUGGGGUAACGGCCCACCAAGGCGACGAUGCAUAGCCGACCUGGGAGGGUGAGCGGCCACACUGGGACUGAGACACGGCCCAGACUCCUACGGGAGGCAGCAGUAGGGAAUCUUCCACAAUGGACGAAAGUCUGAUGGAGCAACGCCGCGUGAGUGAUGAAGGUUUUCGGAUCGUAAAACUCUGUUGUAAGGGAAGAACACGUACGAGAGGGAAUGCUCGUACCUUGACGGUACCUUACGAGAAAGCCACGGCUAACUACGUGCCAGCAGCCGCCGCAG
This 524-nucleotide ribosomal RNA is filed under the name uncultured bacterium. Its description in RNAcentral is "partial 16S ribosomal RNA". It matches the Rfam family "Bacterial small subunit ribosomal RNA", at positions 28 to 523 of the family's 1533-position model. The record is from RNAcentral.